AGCCAAUCAGCGGCGGGGUCGCGGCUCGGCCCCUGCGGCCCGGAGCUGGGGAACCCCGUGGGUAACGGAUUCCCGCUUUCAGGGGCCCCGCGCGCCCUUGGGCUGGGGGCGGGGGGGGGAGUCUGGUGCCCCUACCCGCGCUAGGAAGGAAAGACUCUGCCAAACUAACUUCACUCAAAUGGUGUGGAUUUAAAGAGAAUGCAAAGGCCUUGUCAGCUCCAACACUGGUUUCCACAUUAAAACCCAUCUGGAAAGCCUAAGUGAACUACCCGAACACCAGUUUGGGUUGUACAUUGUGUCCUUCCUCAAAUACAACGUUACCAAGAACUACAGUACCACUAAAUACAAGGUCUAACCCCAGAAGACACACAAUUCUCGAGGUUCUUCAGUAGCAAAAGGACACCGGGAACACUUAACUCCAUUCCUGAAGGAACACAGCCUUUUCUACGCAGAUGUACACACUAAAAGAAGUAAUCCAAUACAA
Molecule: long non-coding RNA, 484 nt
Organism: Numida meleagris (helmeted guineafowl)
Lineage: Eukaryota; Metazoa; Chordata; Aves; Galliformes; Numididae
Exons: 2
Source: RefSeq, a predicted model, not a curated record